Molecule: ribosomal RNA, 375 nt
Filed under: uncultured organism
Description: bacterial SSU rRNA
Rfam family: Bacterial small subunit ribosomal RNA
Source: RNAcentral
CGUAGGUGGCAAGCGUUGUCCGGAUUUACUGGGCGUAAAGAGCGCGCAGGCGGUCGAGUAAGUCGAAUGUGAAACGCCCCCGGCUUAACGUGGGGAGGGUCAUUCGAUACUGUUCGACUUGAAGGCAGGAGAGGGCAGCAGAAUUCCCGGUGUAGUGGUGAAAUGCGUAGAUAUCGGGAGGAAUACCAGUGGCGAAGGCGGCUGCCUGGCCUGUUCUUGACGCUGAGGCGACGAAAGCUGGGGGAGCAAACGGGAUUAGAUACCCCGGUAGUCCCAGCCGUAAACGAUGGACACUAGGUGUUGGUGGUAUCAACCCCGCCAGUGCCGUAGCUAACGCAUUAAGUGUCCCGCCUGGGGAGUACGGCCGCAAGGCUA